RNAcentral lists this ribosomal RNA (445 nucleotides) under uncultured bacterium. RNAcentral's name for it is "SSU rRNA". It matches the Rfam family "Bacterial small subunit ribosomal RNA", at positions 26 to 518 of the family's 1533-position model. The record is from RNAcentral.
AGAACGAACGCUGGCGGCAUGCCUAACACAUGCAAGUCGAACGAGACCUUCGGGUCUAGUGGCGCACGGGUGCGUAACGCGUGGGAAUCUGCCCUUGGGUACGGAAUAACAGUGAGAAAUUACUGCUAAUACCGUAUGAUGUCUUCGGACCAAAGAUUUAUCGCCCAGGGAUGAGCCCGCGUUGGAUUAGCUAGUUGGUGGGGUAAAGGCCUACCAAGGCGACGAUCCAUAGCUGGUCUGAGAGGAUGAUCAGCCACACUGGGACUGAGACACGGCCCAGACUCCUACGGGAGGCAGCAGUGGGGAAUAUUGGACAAUGGGUGAAAGCCUGAUCCAGCAAUGCCGCGUGAGUGAAGAAGGCCUUAGGGUUGUAAAGCUCUUUUACCCGGGAAGAUAAUGACUGUACCGGAGAAUAAGCCCCGGCUAACUCCGCGCCAGCAGCCGC